Molecule: long non-coding RNA, 603 nt
Organism: Bubalus bubalis (water buffalo)
Lineage: Eukaryota; Metazoa; Chordata; Mammalia; Artiodactyla; Bovidae
Exons: 2
Source: RefSeq, a predicted model, not a curated record
CUGAGCCCUACCCCCUACCCAUUGAAUCAGAAAUUCUGGGGUUGGAGUUCAGCAAUCUGUGGCUGCACAAGUCUUCCAGGUGAUUCUGAUGCUUGUUAAAGCUUAACUAGCACUGAAUUAGGAUGAAAGGAAGGAAUCUUAGGCUUGGCCAUCUCUUGAAGAGCAGAUGUAGUGAGAGAACUUGAAGGUCUGGUAUCCUUUGUUGCUAAAGAUUUUCAGACCAUAACUAGCUCAGCUUUGAGACUUGAAAAUGUCAAGGAACUAACCACUAGUGUAUUGGUGAUGGUCAUCCACGGAUAGGUUUAAACGUCUCAGGAUUAGGUCAGGAUUUGGCAUGGUGAGAAGAUGUCUACAACACACGUCUAGGUCUUCAGUGAUUGUAGGAGAUAGAAAAUGGUAACCUCAAGUGGCAUAAACUUUGAUGCAGUUUGUGCAGCACCAGGGAGUCAGGUGAAUCCUGGCCCCAACCCCUGCGUCCUGUCUCGGGGAGUGUGGGAGAAAUGGCAGCCUCCACCAGAGAUGGAAGUCAGAAAACGCACACCUUUGGGAGAAGGAUUGCUUUGGCUAUUUGGGGCUCCCAAAUCACUACAGAUGGUGACUGCA